This 585-nucleotide unclassified non-coding RNA is filed under the name Hevea brasiliensis (rubber tree). The record is from RNAcentral. Lineage: Eukaryota; Viridiplantae; Streptophyta; Magnoliopsida; Malpighiales; Euphorbiaceae.
GUAAAUUUCAUUUUCCCACAGUUUUCAAAUAUACGUAUACAUACGGUCGAAGUUUCUAGAAGAUUUGAUGAAUUUACCGGUGCCGGAAAUGAAAAAGCCCGACGGAAAUCCGGCGAAGUACGAUUUAGAGCAUCGGUACAAGGGAGAUGACUCAUGGUACGGUGUGCUAGUGACGGUGGACGGUGAAACGAUGACGGUGAAGUUCGAGGGAUAUCCGGAAAAAUUCGAUGUGAAAUUCCUUGCUGAUGACUUGAAAUCGAAGGAGGAAAUGGAUGAAUUCGUUAGGAGGUUUAGGAAUGUUUCGCCACAGCUGCAGGAUAAUGAAUGCAGUAGUGUUAAGGAAGGGAUGAUUGUCUGUGCGGCUUGUAAUGCUUUUGGCAAAGAUGAUAUGCUCUUCUACGAUGCCGUUGUUGAAGCGAUACACAAAAAGAACCAUACAUUUCACAAUGGAGUGGAGGAGUGCACAUGUACCUUUGUACUAUCCUGGCUUCAUGGCCCAAAGAAGGAUGACUUGGCUAAUUCUGGAAUUGAAGGCAUAUGUAUCAUAAAAGGCACAACCCAAGUUGAUCCUAGAAUAUCCUCCUU